CCUCCCCGGCCGCUGGGGCGCCGUACGCCUGGCGACUAGCACGGAUGAAAACAUGGAGGCGUGCUGUGUUCCAGUUUCACUUCAUCACCCUCUGGAUUUACAGCUCUGCCCAGUUCUGUCGUCAUUACAGGCAAGAUCCUCUUGUAUGAUAGGAACCAGUAACAGUCACCAGACCAGAAUUUGAACACACACAUCCUUAAGACUAGGUGCUCUCAUCUUCUGCUGUGUCU
RNAcentral lists this long non-coding RNA (230 nucleotides) under Lynx canadensis (Canada lynx). RNAcentral describes it as "lncRNA (ENSLCNG00005006438.1)". The record is from RNAcentral. Lineage: Eukaryota; Metazoa; Chordata; Mammalia; Carnivora; Felidae.